Glycine soja is the source of this 693-nucleotide long non-coding RNA. RefSeq lists it as uncharacterized. NCBI's taxonomy places the organism in Eukaryota, Viridiplantae, Streptophyta, Magnoliopsida, Fabales, Fabaceae. The transcript has 3 exons. The record is from RefSeq and is a predicted model, not a curated record.
GGAAUUUUCUUCCCUUCCUUCCUUCAGGGCUUGAACUAACCUCUAAUUUCGCCAUGGACCGUCACAGUUUUAGCCACGAGAAAGGGGUUUCUGCAACUUUGGUUAUUAUUACUCUUUAGGUUGGUGCAGUGGGAGAGGCCUGGGGAGCAGGGAACAGCCUUGUAUGAUGUAGAAGUCACAGAAAUAGCAGCAACAACACAAGUGUCAUAGCUGGUCUCACAUACACUUGUCAUCCUCUUGCUCUCAACAAAAAUGUUCAAAGACAACAGUAAUUCCAGUUAUUCUACUUUGGGGAUAUUCUGCAAGAGUCUGCAAGAGAAACCAAAACAGGGUUUAUUUUGUCGACUGUGUACUGGUGGUGCGGUCCUUGAUUUUUUAGCAUUGUACAUUCAAAACCAUUAGUGAUUCCCCUCCUCAAUUUUUCCCUCUCAGAGUAGAUGAUUUUAUUCUGGCUUCUUCAAUGAAUUAUUUUGAUUACUUUGUACUUGUUGCCAUUUGGGCAUUGAGGAUGCGUAGGCUCUUGUCAUAUUUUUGCACAUGCUAAGUUUUUAUUAGAAACUUGUUUAAAAUAUAAACAUGAUCAUACUAUGUCACAUGAUUUUUUUCAAAGACAAAUUUAGUCAUGUAUUAACAGAGUAGCCUAUGUUUGUUGCUGAACUUUAUUUAGCUAUAGUCUGCUACUUCAUAUUAACA